Myripristis murdjan (pinecone soldierfish) is the source of this 216-nucleotide long non-coding RNA. RefSeq lists it as uncharacterized. The transcript has 3 exons. Lineage: Eukaryota; Metazoa; Chordata; Actinopteri; Holocentriformes; Holocentridae. The record is from RefSeq and is a predicted model, not a curated record.
GGAGAAUAUUACUGUGAAGUCCAAAACAGAAGAGGACAUCAUCGCUCCACCUUGCAGUUGAAUGUUGUGGCGGCUGCAUGGAAAUCAGUUGCUGCUGUAGUAACUUCUACCAUUUUGCCGGCUAUCAUACUGACCUGUCUCCUACUGUGGAUUAGGAGAAAGAGGGCCACCAAACAGCCGUCUGCACCAGGAGUGGGACCAGACAACACGCUGCAG